GAGCGCCGUAUGAGGUGAAAGUCUCAAGUACGGUGUGGAGCGGGGGAAAAGAUGGAAAGGGAAAAUACUCAAAUCUUACCUAUCGCUAU
RNAcentral lists this non-coding RNA (89 nucleotides) under Acetitomaculum ruminis DSM 5522. Lineage: Bacteria; Bacillati; Bacillota; Clostridia; Lachnospirales; Lachnospiraceae. The record is from RNAcentral.